UACAGAGGUCUCAAGCGUUGUUCGGAUUCAUUGGGCGUAAAGGGUGCGUAGGCGGCGCGGUAAGUCGGGUGUGAAAUCUCGGAGCUUAACUCCGAAACUGCAUUCGAUACUGCCGUGCUUGAGGACUGGAGAGGAGACUGGAAUUUACGGUGUAGCGGUGAAAUGCGUAGAUAUCGUAAGGAAGACCAGUGGCGAAGGCGGGUCUCUGGUCCAUUACUGACGCUGAGGUGCGAAAGCGUGGGGAGCAAACAGG
This 253-nucleotide ribosomal RNA is filed under the name uncultured bacterium. Its description in RNAcentral is "partial 16S ribosomal RNA". It matches the Rfam family "Bacterial small subunit ribosomal RNA", at positions 524 to 776 of the family's 1533-position model. The record is from RNAcentral.